RNA transcript from Colius striatus (speckled mousebird), 5232 nucleotides. It is a transcript of the gene named component of oligomeric golgi complex 6, with no coding region annotated. NCBI's taxonomy places the organism in Eukaryota, Metazoa, Chordata, Aves, Coliiformes, Coliidae. The transcript is spliced from 21 exons. The record is from RefSeq and is a predicted model, not a curated record.
CCUGGGGAGGGCUGCAGCUAUGGCCGACACCGCCGCGCCGCCGCCGCCCGCUGCGCCUGCCUCGGGGCUUCCGGCAGCCCCCGGCAGCAACCCGCUGUCCCGCAAACUCAACAAGAUCCUGGAGACUCGCCUGGACAACGACAAGGAAAUGCUGGAAGCUCUCAAGGCUCUCUCGACCUUCUUUGUGGAAAAUAGUUUGCGCACCCGAAGGAACUUGCGUGGAGACAUCGAACGGCGAAGCUUAGCCAUAAAUGAAGAGUUUGUCCACAUAUUCAAGCAAGUUAAGGAGGAGCUUGAGAGUAUAAAUGAAGAUGUGCAAGCGAUGAGCAGCUGCUGUGAAGAUAUGUCCAGUCGUUUGAAGGCAGCAAAGGAACAAACCCAGGACUUGAUAGUAAAAACCACAAAGCUCCAAGCAGAAAAUCAGAGACUAGAAAUGAAAGCACAAGUUGCAGAUGCAUUCAUAGCAAAAUUCCAGCUGACACCAGAUGAAAUGAACCUCCUUCGAGGCACGAAGGAUGAGCCAAUUACUGAGGACUUUUUCAAGGCUUUGGGAAGAGUGAAGCAAAUUCACGAUGAUGUCAAGAUUCUUCUCCGGACAAAUCAGCAAAGGGCUGGCUUGGAAAUUAUGGAACAGAUGGCUUUACUGCAAGAGACAUCUUAUGAACGACUUUACAGAUGGACUCAAAAUGAAUGCAGGACUUUAACACAGGAAUCAUGUGACAUUUCUCCAGUUCUUGCUCAAGCCAUGGAGGCUUUACAGGAUAGGCCUGUCCUGUAUAAAUACACGCUGGAUGAGUUUGGAACAGCUAGGAGGAGUGCUGUAGUCCGUGGCUUUAUAGAUGCUCUUACUAGAGGAGGUCUGGGAGGUACUCCCCGCCCUAUUGAAAUGCACUCCCACGAUCCUCUGAGGUACGUAGGAGACAUGCUGGCCUGGCUGCAUCAAGCUACUGCUUCUGAAAAAGAACACCUAGAAGCUAUGUUAAAGCUUGUAACUAUUCAAGGUGUGGAAGAAAAUAUUCAAGAAGUAGUUGGGCACAUCACAGAAGGUGUCUGCAGGCCACUGAAGGUUAGAAUUGAGCAGGUGAUUGUUGCCGAGCCAGGAGCAGUUUUACUCUACAAGAUUUCUAAUCUUCUCAAGUUCUACCACCAUACAAUCAGUGGUAUUGUGGGAAACAGUGCAGCCACACUGUUGACAACGAUUGAAGAAAUGCAUUUGUUGAGCAAGAAAAUAUUCUUUAAUAGUCUGAGUCUUCAUGCAAGUAAACUAAUGGACAAGGUUGAACUCCCACCUCCCGAUCUUGGCCCGAGCUCUGCACUAAAUCAGACACUGAACUUGCUGCGGGAGGUUCUGGCAUCUCACGACUCAUCAGUUGUUCCACUGGAUGCCCGUCAGGCUGACUUUGUGCAGGUUUUGUCUUGUGUGCUAGACCCGUUGUUACAGAUGUGUACUGUGUCUGCUAGUAAUUUGGGCACAGCUGAUAUGGCAACCUUCAUGGUAAAUUCCCUUUACAUGAUGAAGACUACUUUGGCUCUCUUUGAAUUCACUGACAAACGUCUAGAAAUGUUACAAUUUCAGAUUGAAGCUCAUUUAGAUACACUUAUAAAUGAACAGGCUUCCUAUGUGUUAACAAGAGCUGGUCUGAGUUACAUAUACAACUCUGUGCAGCAACACAAACAGGAACAGGGUCCUCUUUCAAAUUUGCCAAAUAUGGAUUCUGUGUCCCUGAAGGUUGCAAUGGCUCAGUUUGAUCGCUAUUUGUCUGCUCCAGAUAGUCUGUUAAUGUCCCAGCUGAAUUUCCUUCUGAGUGCCACUGUGAAAGAGCAGAUAAUAAAACAGUCAACAGAACUGGUCUGCAGAGCUUACAGUGAGUUAUAUGCAGCUGUGAUGGAUCCUUCAAACGAAUAUAAGGACCCAGAAACCAUACUGCACAGAUCUCCUCAUCAAGUCCAGGCACUGCUUUCAUAGUCUUGCUAUGUUUAUCAGAAUCUGUAAUUCUGUAUUUGUUGAGUAUUCGCAUCACGUUAUUUUUCUGGUUUGAAUUUUAAUGUGUAACUGUAUGGUUAAAAUAUGUAGGAAUGCAGUUUUCUUUAAUCUGCUUGGCAGAAGUCUAGUCUUUCCUGUGUCUUUGAGUACCUUCUGUAAGCUGGAAAAUAGAAUAUAGAUUAAAAAUUAUUGUAAUGUAUUCCUCUAAUAGAAAUGGACCUUGAUAAUAUACAAUCUCUUUGAAAAGGGGAGUAAAGGAGAAAGAAGCUUUUUCCUUGCUGUACAUAAUCCUUUCAACUAGAGGUUGAACCAGGGUCUCUUAUGACCUCACCAGUAUUUUUUAUUUGCUCUUUUUUUCCCUGUUUGUCACUAUUUUCUCAGCCUACCAUCAGUAAACACUGAUAACUGUAGUUUCAGUACAACUAAUAUACUUUGAAUGUCUCAAGUUCAUCACUUGUACAUUUCAUAAAUAAUUUCAGAGUAUUGGAUGGUAUUUUCCAAAUCCUGUUUAUUACAUCUGUGGGGCAAAAUCUGUAUGUCCUUUUUUGGAAUCAGUUGUCAUCGUGGCUAGUUCUGGUACUUUCUGUAAGGAAAAGAAAUAUUUGAACUAUAGGCAUAUACAUAACCUGGAACUUAAAGCAUUAAGCUAUUUGUAUAGUUUUCUUUUAUGGAAGGAUUUUGUUCUAGUGCAACUGUUUGUAGAAAUCCUGAUAUCAGUUAAAACUUGAUGAUUUCUUAAGGCUGGGACCAGAAACAACCCAGAUUAGGAAAAUGGUUUGCACAGCAAUAUGGCCUUUCUUCCUUCACAUGUGCUUUUCAGUUUGGCUUCUUUUUAAGUACAGAAAAGGCCCUUCUGCUCUAGUACAAGUGUUUAUUCAGCUAACAACCCACCAAGAAAUUUUCUUGGUGCAUAUGUCUGCAGUGGCACCCCUAAACGUUAUCAUGAAGUUCACCUGUGGCUGCCACAGGUUGUCCUGGGAAUGUGGGUGGAAUUGCUGGGAUGUGUAGUUGUUGGAAGCUGAUGUGUAGAAAGCUGUGAGGGAAGAUUUCAUUUCUUUCCUCUUUCGGUGCAAAGCUGAAGCUGCUCUCUGUAGAAACCCUAGUUAUAUAGACUGUUACGGUUUAUGGGACCUUUGCUUCCAGCAAAAGAAGAACACAAGUAGGACACUUGUUCUCUGUUGGGCCUUGUGGUAAUUUUCUGCAAAUCUCUUAAACGUGUUUUUCUUUUAGGAAAGGUUUGUUAUAGAGAAACCUUCAGGAAUCCAAAAAUUAGCAAAAGGAAUUUGAGACCUUUUGGGGUUCCAUUUUUUUUGUUUGCUUGGGUGUUUUUAAAAGAUUAUUUAAACUGUUUCAUUGGAAACGUUUCACUUUUGUUUUUUCCCUCUGUUGUUGUAUGGGUGCUGCACAGUUAUUACAUUUGCCUGAGUUUCCACUCAUAUGAGAUGUGACUUCUUGAUAUAAAUCAAGGGGGAGAUUCCCAGGAUUUCCUCAUGGGGAGCUGUGAAGCUGCAGCCCUCCAGUCGCUCGAUUGGAUGGACGACCCAUAAGCACUGCAGUGAACGGAAUCAUUCUGGGUGUUGGGGCCGGGCCCAUACUCAGACGGGUGCUGCAGGUCUGACCUGAGUGUCACGGUGAUGAGGAGGUGCUGAGGCAUUUUAAAGGUGAUGCAUGUGCUCCUGUGCUGCAGUGAAGCAGGAGUUCGCUGCCUAGCUGGGUUGCUGGGCUGGGGCUCCACUGGGCAUGUUCACACCAGCACAGGAAAGGUGGUGACCAAAUGAUCAAAAGGUGGGUGAACCUCUUGUUGCACAAAGGUCCUCUAGUACUCCAGCUCCCUGCGCCCUGGAGUGAAGAGCCACUUUGUGUAGAGAUAGUGUAGAGCUGAAGGAAACCCAGAACAUUGCUUCUGUCUUGGUCCUUGACUAACUGCUCAUCCCUUCAAAGGUACGAUGUGGGUAAAUCUUCAGUAAUCUGCAGAACCCUCUAGUGCAAAACUAUGGAAUAACAAUGUGCAAAGGAGCCUUUACACCUGAAAAUGUACACUUACCCCUUAUGUACAUUACUGUAAAUACCUCAUGUACAUUAAGGCCUAAAUUAGCUUAAAACCUCUCAUGCUAUAGUUAUCCCCCAGACUUUGCAUACAAUGAAAAGAUGAACAACAAAUACUUUUCCCUUUACAGAAAAAAAAAGUUCAUUUUUGCUACCUUGCUUUAAGGACCCCAUGAUCAAGCAAGAUACGGCUGAGAAAUGUUUGAUAGGUUACUGCAGAGCAGCUGACAAAAAAGAAAGAGACUGUUGCAUGUUUCAUAUUCAGACAAUGAAGCUUUCAUUUGCUGCCUAGUUCACAGAUGUGGCAUUGUCAAAUUGCAGGAAAAUGCCUGGCAGACUGUAUCAUCGACUAUAUUUAGGGAGGGAAAAAAUUCAGAACACACUAUUUAUAGAAGCCACACAAAUAAGCACAGAGUUCUUAUCAGCCAAAGAUAACAUUAGUCGUGAUUUAUCAAAGUAAUCUUUAUUUUAUGGAAAGUGGAUAAUAGGGUGUAAUUUAAUCCUUUGUGAAUGUAAUGUAUAUUUCAAAGGGUUCUUUUUUGUCAAUAAAACCAUUUGUUGUACUUGUUAAACUAAUUAGUCUUGUUGCUGUUGCUCAUGACAGGAUAAAAGACUCCCGUUAACGAAAAGAGGGAGGAGAAGACGGGUUCAAAAGUUUCUGAAAGAUUUUGUGCUCCUUGCCAGCCAGUUUUCUGAUUAAAACAGGUUUCGCCUCUUGCUGUGGAUGAGAGUUUGUGCAGAUGAUAUAUUCUCCUUUUUUAAUUCCAAAAUGGAUUACCCCCAAAGUUCACCUUCUCUCUGGGCAUUUCAUGUGAUGCUACAGGCAUCAGGGGCUCCUCUGGCCUCUGCAGGGCCUGAUGCGGGCAGAGGCUGUGCUGGCUGACCCGUGGCCCAGCGCCCGUGGGGAGGGAGAUGGCCCUGGACACUUCUACUUGCUCCUUGCAUUUUUUCCACCAUGUGCCAACAUGUUCCAGGAGUCUCACAAAAGAGUAAAAAGGAAGGAAAAGAGAGCUGCCUGGAUGCAUCCUGUGUGGGUCCCUGUCCGUCCGUGUGCCCUUCUGCCCAGGGGCAGAGCGCAGGGCUGAAGCUGUGCCGAGUCUUGGCUCUGCAAGAGGCCUCAACAGCAGUGCCAGCCUGGAGGCAGGACAUGAGCUCAUUCUCUGGAUCUGCAGUUGACCUUGAAAGAUCCGAAUCAGAAGUGG